UUACGGUCAAAUCACGCUGAAACACCGGUUCUCGUACGAUCACCGAAGUUAAGCAGCGUAGAGCCAGGUCAGUACUUAGAUGGGAACACCUGGUAC
RNAcentral lists this ribosomal RNA (96 nucleotides) under Acanthosepion pharaonis. Lineage: Eukaryota; Metazoa; Mollusca; Cephalopoda; Sepiida; Sepiidae. The record is from RNAcentral.